CAAAGUGAGACUCUGUCUCCAAAUAAAUAAAUAAAUAAAUAAAACUUGUCACUUGCCCUCACAUAUGCCACAGGUUGCAUUUUUAAAUGCAGUGCCAGUUACUAAACAGUUUUAGAUUUAGAGGUGCUCUAUCAUCCAAGAAGCCUGGGACAGGGUGAGAAGAUGGAAAGAAUAUGGGCUUUGGGGUGCAGCAGAUGCACCUUGAACGCUGGCUCUGCUGUUUGUCAGCUGGGAAGUGACCCCUUCCCCUUGCAAAUCCUUUCUGUAAUGAGGAGGGGAAGGAAGGAAACUUUCUGCCUUGGUUUCCUCAUCUGUAAAAUACUGAAAUACUGUUUUCUUCAAAGAGCUAUGAGGAUUAAAUAAAGUUCUAUAACUUAGGACAGUGCUUGUCAGACUUGGAUGUACACACAAAUCACCCUGGGAUCGGCCAAGAUUCCAUACCGGGAACCAGCUCCCAGGUGAUGCCCAGGCUGAAGUUCAAGGACCGUGUUUGAGCAGCAAGGAUAUAGGGUGCCUGGCAUUUAGCAGAGUUCAGUAAAUAUAAUCCUCUCUUCUGUCCCCUUGGUCAUUCCUCCUCUCCACAUUCCAUGCUUAGAUUAGCUUUUAAUUUUCAUCCCAUCCCUGUGUACUAAGUGAUGAUGUAUGUGUCCAAUUAAGGUGAGCCUUGGAAGAUUUCCUUUCAUAUCCUUAAUCUGAGAAGUAACAAACCUUCUCAGCAGGGUAUAUUCUUAAAAAGGGAGAGAUGUUUUUGAAGUCCUGAAUCAAACACUAAGCUGCCAUGUUGUAGGAAUGAUAGAACUUGUGUGACUGUUUGAUCCCCGCAGUUCUGAGAGAGAUCAGCAUGGUCUACUGUGAACAUUAGGUGACAAUCGUCUGCUGGUGCAGGUUCCAUCAAAUGCAAGUUGUGGUCUCAUUAAGCAGAUGACAGCUGGGCAGCAUACAUUUGUGAAGCCACUAAAGCCUUGUGAUCGAGGGGCCAUAGGAAGCUGCAGCAGCCGAUCCCUCUGGAAGCAAUGAUGUAUGCCGUUGCCAUGAAAUGGAAAAAUCCACUCUGAUUAGGCUGAGGUUUUGUGAGUCAGAUUUGAAAAUGCUAAUAAAUGUUGACAGGAUUUACGUACUGAUUCUAUUCUUACCACACUUCAUUCUCCCACUCUUCACAAUGAAUGUUGCGCUGUUUUCUCUGAAUCUUCAUUCAAACACACUAAAAAAAAAAACCUCAAAUACAUUCAGAUACAUAUUCAGCUUCAAUUUGUGUUCUUAUUUCUAUAAUGCCUUUUUUCUGCUAAAUUUUUCUUAAAGGAUCAAAAUAAGUUGAGUAUUGUCUGUAAAUCGGACAUUUAUUAAUAAUUAUAGGUAGCUGUAGCUAGCACAGCUUAAUCAUGUGUUUUAUCUGAGCUUUGACUUAUAGCUGUCUUGAAGUCUAUAAAACAGCUUGUUAAGAUGUCUGGAGCAUCUUAAGAGAAACGUAAGAGUAGUCUUUGUUUACUUCAUUUUAUUUGCCAUGAUACAUUUUGGUUUUUAAGCUGAUUUUGUUAGCAGCUCAAUUAAAUAUAGUUCAAUCCAUCUUUUUGGAGUAUCCAAUAGGAAUUUUCCUGUAUUUUUUUUAAACCAAAUUCCUGAUUUACAGAACUUUGAAAUAUUUUUUAUUUUCAUUUUUUUAUGUUGUAAAGAACACAACCUCUUUACUUCUGCUUGAGAUACAAAUGUUCGGUUUGGUUGAUGAGAAUGAGCCAAGUACUGGAGAAGACAACAGCUAGCUGUUCUGUUUUUUCCAGUGAACUGCCGAUGAAGGAAGAGGCUAAGGAGGACCUGGACUGCUUCAGUCCGCUGAUAAUCCAGACUAUCAGAUCUCCAGCCUGGUACUUCUUGAGCAGGACUGGCCCAUACGGCAGUAUGUGUUGACGGUUGAAGAUGGCAGAUACGGAGAAUGCAGCAUGUCUGUGGAGUUCACUCUGAUGUCUCCACAUGUCCAACAAAAUUCCAUCCCUGGUGGGCACUGGGCGUGCGAUCAGGCUGCUGGCCCACUUGUGUGGGUGGCCACGGUGCUUCCCCGAUUCUGCUGCGCUGCCUCGGCGGGCCGGUAGGCCUCGCUCCUCCGGAAGGCGGCGGGGCGGGCCGCUGGCAGCUUGCCGGCCAGCCGUGACUGGUUUCCUCCGGUCCUGGCCUGCCCAGCAGAGGCCCCCGCGGGCACAGGCGCCGUGUGACGGGCUCUGCGGUAACUCUCGCGCCCGCGGGGCGACCGGCGCCCGGGUUCCUCAGCAAGUGGCGGGCAACCGUUUCGGGGUUCGGCUCCCGUUGGACACUGUUCUUCAGCUCCACCUCGAGGUGACGGCCCCUCAGAAAUUUCCCCGUCGCCUCACGCGCCUCGGUCUGGGUCUUCUCGCCGUUUCCUUCUCCUCUCAGCGAGUUCUCCCUUUCCAGCAGCCUAUAGGUGGCCUGAAGCCCAGAGAGGGUCAAAUUCAGCCGAGCCCUACUGCCCCUACUCUCUGAGCCAGUGGACGUGCUUUGUCUAGAAAGUUCCCAAGCCAAGCCAAGGAAGUGGUGUGGAUUUCCUCCUAUGGCUCUGCUAAAAAUAAAACAUUGGCUGGUGAAAAUAAAGUCUUGCAAAGAAGGCCCUUUUGUCUACUUGUCUUGGUAGGAAACAUUGCAAAUUCUGAUGGCUUGAUUGCUUCUUUAUGUAAGUAAUUAAAAACAUUUGCAUUUGAAAUGUUUGAGAUUAAUUGCAAGUGUGGCUGUCAAUCA
This is a non-coding RNA of Microcebus murinus (gray mouse lemur), 2742 nucleotides long. NCBI's taxonomy places the organism in Eukaryota, Metazoa, Chordata, Mammalia, Primates, Cheirogaleidae. The record is from RefSeq and is a predicted model, not a curated record.